GUCUUCUUCGUAGCCUACCCCCUUUCUAGAAUGCAACAGGUAUAUUGGUGACGUGGUGUAAUCAAUCAAUCAGAAAUCUCCUAUUAAAAAUAUAUAUUCCAUCAUGAUUAUAAAAAAAUAAUUUUAUUAUAUUUUUGUUUGAAAAGAAGAAAAGUAAUUGGCUUGUCAUUGAUAAUGUGAUACAAGUGUGAUAGUGUAGAAUUCCUCCUC
This 210-nucleotide long non-coding RNA is filed under the name Ananas comosus (pineapple). Its description in RNAcentral is "long non-coding RNA (ACOM_LNC040760)". The record is from RNAcentral. Lineage: Eukaryota; Viridiplantae; Streptophyta; Magnoliopsida; Poales; Bromeliaceae.